UUUUGUGGUUUUGGAUGGACUCGCGGCCUAUCAGCUUGUUGGUGGGGUAAUGGCCUACCAAGGCGACGACGGGUAGCCGGCCUGAGAGGGUGACCGGCCACACUGGGACUGAGACACGGCCCAGACUCCUACGGGAGGCAGCAGUGGGGAAUAUUGCACAAUGGGCGCAAGCCUGAUGCAGCGACGCCGCGUGAGGGAUGAAGGCCUUCGGGUUGUAAACCUCUUUCAGUAGGGAAGAAGCCGCUCUUUCGGGGGUGGUGACGGUACUUGCAGAAGAAGCGCCGGCUAACUACGUGCCAGCAGCCGCGGUAAUACGUAGGGCGCAAGCGUUAUCCGGAAUUAUUGGGCGUAAAGAGCUCGUAGGCGGUUUGUCGCGUCUGCCGUGAAAGUCCGGGGCUUAACCCCGGAUCUGCGGUGGGUACGGGCAGACUAGAGUGCAGUAGGGGAGACUGGAAUUCCUGGUGUAGCGGUGAAAUGCGCAGAUAUCAGGAGGAACACCGAUGGCGAAGGCAGGUCUCUGGGCUGUAACUGACGCUGAGGAGCGAAAGCAUGGGGAGCGAACAGGAUUAGAUACCCUGGUAGUCCAUGCCGUAAACGUUGGGCACUAGGUGUGGGGGACAUUCCACGUUUUCCGCGCCGUAGCUAACGCAUUAAGUGCCCCGCCUGGGGAGUACGGCCGCAAGGCUAAAACUCAAAGGAAUUGACGGGGGCCCGCACAAGCGGCGGAGCAUGCGGAUUAAUUCGAUGCAACGCGAAGAACCUUACCAAGGCUUGACAUGAACCGGAAUGAUGCAGAGAUGUGUCAGCCACUUGUGGCCGGUUUACAGGUGGUGCAUGGUUGUCGUCAGCUCGUGUCGUGAGAUGUUGGGUUAAGUCCCGCAACGAGCGCAACCCUCGUUCCAUGUUGCCAGCGGGUUAUGCCGGGGACUCAUGGGAGACUGCCGGGGUCAACUCGGAGGAAGGUGGGGACGACGUCAAAUCAUCAUGCCCCUUAUGUCUUGGGCUUCACGCAUGCUACAAUGGCCGGUACAAAGGGUUGCGAUACUGUGAGGUGGAGCUAAUCCCAAAAAGCCGGUCUCAGUUCGGAUUGAGGUCUGCAACUCGACCUCAUGAAGUUGGAGUCGCUAGUAAUCGC
Molecule: ribosomal RNA, 1135 nt
Filed under: Arthrobacter sp. BYNT3-4
Lineage: Bacteria; Bacillati; Actinomycetota; Actinomycetes; Micrococcales; Micrococcaceae
Description: bacterial SSU rRNA
Rfam family: Bacterial small subunit ribosomal RNA
Source: RNAcentral